UAGGUGGCAGGCGCUCCGCUAGUACCGGGCGAGCGCGCGGCGGAGCACCUGCGCGAGGAGGCCGGGGGCGCUGAGGUGCGGGAGGUGGCCCUCGGUCUGGAGGAACUCGACGGCGGUGCGGCCGCCGAGGUGGGCCUUGAGGUAGGCGGCGACGGAGGCCGGGACGGAGACGUCGCGGGUGGUCUGCACCACCACGCAGGGGGACCGCACCAUGCCCAGCACGCCGCGGAGGUCGGUGUUGAACACGGUGCGGCACACGUGGAGGGAGAUGUCCG
RNAcentral lists this long non-coding RNA (275 nucleotides) under Zea mays. RNAcentral's name for it is "long non-coding RNA (ZMAY_LNC000169)". Lineage: Eukaryota; Viridiplantae; Streptophyta; Magnoliopsida; Poales; Poaceae. The record is from RNAcentral.